GAUGUGUCUGCAAAGAGAAAGAUUUAUCGCCUUUAGAUGAGCCCGCACUAGAUUAGCUAGUUGGUGAGGUAAUUGCUCCACCAAGGCUACGAUCUAUAGCUGAUUUGAGAGGAUGAUCAGCAACACUGAGACUGAGACACGGCCCAGACUCCUACGGGAGGCAGCAGUGGGGAAUCUUGGACAAUGGGGGCAACCCUGAUCCAGCCAUGCCGCGUGAGUGAAGAAGUCUCUAGGGAUGUAAAGUUCUGUCAAGAGGGAGUAUAAUGAUAGUACCUCUAAAGGAAGCUCCGGCUAAUUACGUGCCAGCAGCCGCGGUAAUACGUAAGGAGCGAACGUUAUCCGGAUUUACUGGGUAUAAAGUGCGCGUAGGCGGUUACUUAAGUUAGGUGUUAAAUCCUUUAGCUCAACUAAAGUCUGCAUCUAAAACUGGGUAACUAGAGAAUAGUAGAGGAAAGCGGAACUCACAGUGUAGCGGUGAAAUGCAUAGAUAUUGUGAGGAACACCGGUUGCGAAGGCGGCUUUCUGGCCUAUUUCUGACGCUGAGGUGCGAAAGCGUGGGGAGCGAACGGGAUUAGAUACCCCGGUAGUCCACGCCGUAAACGUUGUUCACUGGGUGUUGGAGGUAUCGACCCCUUCAGUGCCGAAGAUAAUUCGUUAAGUGAACCACCUGGGGAGUACGACCGCAAGGUUAAAACUCAAAGGAAUUGACGGGGGCCCGCACAAGCAGUGGAGCAUGUGGUUUAAUUCGAUGAUACGCGAAAAACCUUACCAAGACUUGACAUCUAUCGAAGUUUCUAGAAAUAGAGAUGUGCCCUUCGGGGAACGGUAAGACAGGUGGUGCAUGGCUGUCGUCAGCUCGUGUCGUGAGAUGUUGGGUUAAGUCCCGCAACGAGCGCAACCCUUGUCUUGUGUUGCCAGCACGUUAUGGUGGGAACUCACAAGAUACAGCCUGUAAAAAGCAGGAGGAAGGUAGGGACGACGUCAAGUCAUCAUGCCCCUUAUGUCUUGGGCUACACACAUGCUACAAUGGCCGGUACAAAGAGUCGCUAAGCCGCGAGGCCAUGCCAAUCUCAAAAAACCGGUCUCA
Molecule: ribosomal RNA, 1087 nt
Filed under: uncultured bacterium
Lineage: Bacteria
Description: bacterial SSU rRNA
Rfam family: Bacterial small subunit ribosomal RNA
Source: RNAcentral